CGGAAGGCAGCAGUGGGGAAUAUUGCACAAUGGGCGCAAGCCUGAUGCAGCCAUGCCGCGUGUAUGAAGAAGGCCUUCGGGUUGUAAAGUACUUUCAGUCGUGAGGAAGGUGUUAAGGUUAAUAACCUUAGCAAUUGACGUUAGCGACAGAAGAAGCACCGGCUAACUCCGUGCCAGCAGCCGCGGUAAUACGGAGGGUGCGAGCGUUAAUCGGAAUUACUGGGCGUAAAGGGCACGCAGGCGGUUAAUUAAGUUGGAUGUGAAAUCCCCGGGCUUAACCUGGGAAUGGCAUUCAAGACUGGUUAGCUAGAGUCUUGUAGAGGGGGUAGAAUUCCAUGUGUAGCGGUGAAAUGCGUAGAGAUGUGGAGGAAUACCGGUGGCGAAGGCGGCCCCUGGACAAAGACUGACGCUCAUGUGCGAAAGCGUGGGGAGCGAAACAGGGAUUAGAUAC
This 451-nucleotide ribosomal RNA is filed under the name uncultured bacterium. RNAcentral describes it as "bacterial SSU rRNA". It matches the Rfam family "Bacterial small subunit ribosomal RNA", at positions 342 to 785 of the family's 1533-position model. The record is from RNAcentral.